CAGUCGCCGCGGGAAUACGUAGGGGGCAAGCGUUGUCCGGAAUUAUUGGGCGUAAAGCGCGCGCAGGCGGUUCUUUAAGUCUGGUGUAUAAGUGCGGGGCUCAACCCCGUGAGGCACUGGAAACUGGGGAACUUGAGUGCAGAAGAGGAGAGCGGAAUUCCACGUGUAGCGGUGAAAUGCGUAGAGAUGUGGAGGAACACCAGUGGCGAAGGCGGCUCUCUGGACUGUAACUGACGCUGAGGCGCGAAAGCGUGGGGAGCAAACAGGAUUAGAUACCCCUGUAGUCCCUGUCUCUUAUACA
Molecule: ribosomal RNA, 301 nt
Filed under: uncultured bacterium
Lineage: Bacteria
Description: partial 16S ribosomal RNA
Rfam family: Bacterial small subunit ribosomal RNA
Source: RNAcentral